This 385-nucleotide ribosomal RNA is filed under the name uncultured bacterium. RNAcentral describes it as "bacterial SSU rRNA". It matches the Rfam family "Bacterial small subunit ribosomal RNA", at positions 29 to 418 of the family's 1533-position model. The record is from RNAcentral.
AUUGAACGCUGGCGGCAUGCCUUACACAUGCAAGUCGAACGGUAACGCGGGGCAACCUGGCGACGAGUGGCGAACGGGUGAGUAAUGCAUCGGAACGUGCCCAGUAGUGGGGGAUAGCCCGGCGAAAGCCGGAUUAAUACCGCAUACGACCUACGGGUGAAAGCGGGGACCGUAAGGCCUCGCGCUAUUGGAGCGGCCGAUGUCAGAUUAGGUAGUUGGUGGGGUAAAGGCCUACCAAGCCUACGAUCUGUAGCUGGUCUGAGAGGACGACCAGCCACACUGGGACUGAGACACGGCCCAGACUCCUACGGGAGGCAGCAGUGGGGAAUUUUGGACAAUGGGCGCAAGCCUGAUCCAGCCAUGCCGCGUGCGGGAAGAAGGCCUU